AAAAUAUUUUCUCAACCUCAAUGAAUGAUGAUAGAUCUAUGAAAAACAUUCUCAUCAAUUUAUUAAUUUAUUUGAGAUUUUAGUUCAAUUAGGUUAUUUUUAUGCAUUUUUAAUUGAUUUAAAAUAGUUUCUGACUUCUAAAAAUGCUGAAAUUCUUUGUCAAACUUUGUUUGACCUUGUUGAACUUGAGAUAAUUCACUUGGACUUUUCAAAGUUGAUUUGAA
Molecule: long non-coding RNA, 224 nt
Filed under: Lathyrus oleraceus (garden pea)
Lineage: Eukaryota; Viridiplantae; Streptophyta; Magnoliopsida; Fabales; Fabaceae
Description: Pisum sativum (pea) long non-coding RNA (PSAT_LNC033586)
Source: RNAcentral